CCUACGGGUGGCAGCAGUGAGGAAUAUUGGUCAAUGGACGAGAGUCUGAACCAGCCAAGUAGCGUGAAGGAUGACUGCCCUAUGGGUUGUAAACUUCUUUUAUAGGGGAGUAAAUUGUUCCACGUGUGGGAUUUUGUAUGUACCAUAUGAAUAAGGAUCGGCUAACUCCGUGCCAGCAGCCGCGGUAAUACGGAGGAUCCGAGCGUUAUCCGGAUUUAGUGGGUUUAAAGGGAGCGUAGGGGGAUUGUUAAGUCAGUUGUGAAAGUUUGCGGCUCAACCGUAAAAUUGCAGUUGAAACUGGCAGUCUUGAGUACAGUAGAGGUAGGUGGAAUUCGUGGUGUAGCGGUGAAAUGCUUAGAUAUCACGAAGAACUCCGAUUGCGAAGGCAGUUCACUAGACUGCAACUGACACUGAGGCUCGAAAGUGUGGGUAUCAAACAGGAUUAGAUACCCGGGUAGUC
RNAcentral lists this ribosomal RNA (460 nucleotides) under uncultured bacterium. RNAcentral describes it as "partial 16S ribosomal RNA". It matches the Rfam family "Bacterial small subunit ribosomal RNA", at positions 338 to 795 of the family's 1533-position model. The record is from RNAcentral.